UUUAGCGGGAGUCCUGCUCGGGUUGGGGCGGGGCCUUGGAAAGGUGGAGACCAAACUGGAGGGUUUAGAAAGGCAGAGGCAGUUCCCCACGCCUGGUCUUUAUCCUGAAGCCCCGGGUGGGCUGCGCUUCCCUCCCACCCCUCUACAGACUCUGCUGCUGCAGAUUGCAAAGCAGGAGCUGGAGCGAGAGGCGGAGGAGCGGCGCGGAGAGAAGGGGCGCGCUCUGAGCACCCGCUGCCAGCCGCUGGAGUUGGCCGGGCUGGGCUUCGCGGAGCUGCAGGACUUGUGCCGACAGCUCCACGCCCGUGUGGACAAGGUGGAUGAAGAGAGAUACGACAUAGAGGCAAAAGUCACCAAGAACAUCACGGAGAUUGCAGAUCUGACCCAGAAGAUCUUUGACCUUCGAGGCAAGUUUAAGCGGCCCACCCUGCGGAGAGUGAGGAUCUCUGCAGAUGCCAUGAUGCAGGCGCUGCUGGGGGCCCGGGCUAAAGAGUCCCUGGACCUGCGGGCCCACCUCAAGCAGGUGAAGAAGGAGGACACCGAGAAGGAAAACCGGGAGGUGGGAGACUGGCGCAAGAACAUCGAUGCACUGAGUGGAAUGGAGGGCCGCAAGAAAAAGUUUGAGAGCUGAGCCUUCCUGCCUACUGCCCCUGCCCUGAGGAGGGCCCUGAGGAAUAAAGCUUCUCUCUGAGCUGAAA
RNAcentral lists this small RNA (698 nucleotides) under Pongo abelii (Sumatran orangutan). Its description in RNAcentral is "retained intron". Lineage: Eukaryota; Metazoa; Chordata; Mammalia; Primates; Hominidae. The record is from RNAcentral.